UACGUAGGGGGCUAGCGUUGUCCGGAAUCAUUGGGCGUAAAGCGCGUGUAGGCGGUCCGGUAAGUUCGCUGUGAAAGUCGGGGGCUCAACCCUCGAAUGCCGGUGGAUACUGUCGGGCUAGAGUGCGGAAGAGGCGAGUGGAAUUCCUGGUGUAGCGGUGAAAUGCGCAGAUAUCAGGAGGAACACCAAUUGCGAAGGCAGCUCGCUGGGACGUUACUGACGCUGAGACGCGAAAGCGUGGGGAGCAAACAGG
RNAcentral lists this ribosomal RNA (253 nucleotides) under uncultured bacterium. RNAcentral describes it as "partial 16S ribosomal RNA". It matches the Rfam family "Bacterial small subunit ribosomal RNA", at positions 524 to 776 of the family's 1533-position model. The record is from RNAcentral.